Molecule: long non-coding RNA, 1321 nt
Filed under: Populus tremula
Lineage: Eukaryota; Viridiplantae; Streptophyta; Magnoliopsida; Malpighiales; Salicaceae
Description: long non-coding RNA (PTRE_LNC002239)
Source: RNAcentral
UUCACACUAAAAAAAGUUUACAUUAGCAAAUAGCAACUAGUAAUAAAUUAUCAUAAACAUUCGAUAUAAGUUGAAGAAAAAAUCCAACACCAGCACUACAGCAGCAUCCAAAACUUCCAGCAACAGCAAAAGCCAAAAGAUCUAGCAAGGAUAAUGCUAUAAAAAAACAUUAGCAAAUUAGCAACAUAUUAUAGUUUGACAAUUAAAAAUAUUAGGAAUGCAAAAUUUUAAAAGGAAUUAAUAAGGCAAAGUAAAUUAAUUACCCAAAACAAUUAUAUUCCAAGAUUGCACCAACAUCAUCAAUAUAACUUACAAAUAAUCAGUUGAGAUUUUUAAACUUUCACCAAAUUCUACAAAAACAAAAAUUAAAAUGUUAGAUUAAACAUAUGUAAAUAAAUAAUAUUACAAAAUCCCCCAAAUUGUCCACACCAAGCAUUCUCCACACCAAGCCCAAGACUAUGAAGUUGCAGUGCUAUAGUUAAAUCCCCCACCCCAAAUUGUCAAAAAAAAGGAGAAAAAAAGGAGAGAAAUCAAUCAUUCUACGAGCAUGAUUGAUUCAUGCAUGAGGCUCCAAUAAGUUCCAGAAACUGCAAGGCAUUCCUAUUCUAUUGAAGCCAUGUUCAAGCCCAUUAGAAAAGCAACCAGCAUUCCAACAGUAACAAGGUAAACACACAUCUUCCAUGACCAUCUCUUCCAUCUUCCCAGCAGGUCUUUCCUUUCCAUGUUGCGACCAUACUCUAUACCAGUCAUCAGAUCACAGCAACCCAGAACUAACGCUCCAAUACCUCGAUCAACCUUAUUUAAGGAUAAUAAAAGUUGACGCAAAUAUUCAAAAAAUUUCAGAAGACCGCAACAACCAUCUUGCACUUGAAUAGACCCAUCUGUCAAGUUUUAUUAUGUCUCCUUUUAUUUACAGCGACCUCAUCCGUAGCAAAAGAGAGACAAAUCAUAUGAUUGAUGUAAACCCACUAAACAAAGAAUCAAAGAUGAAGAUGAAGAUGAAAUUUACCUUGUUGUUGUUACUAAAAUGAAGACGCCUGAAAGAUGGAGACGGUUUCUAGAAAAGAUGGAGACGAUUUCUGGAAAAUAAAAAUAUGAAGAUGAAGAUGGAAUAGACUUAGAAAUUUAGAAAAUACUUUUAAAAUUCAAACCCAUGAAACAAAGAAUCAAAGAAGAUGGAAUUUAGUCAUUUACCUUACUAUCGUUGCUUCAGUAAAGGUUUAUGGGAAAGGAAGAUUGUGAAUUAAUUAUUAAGGAUGGGUUUUUGUUGAAAAUGGGAAGGAAGGUGAAGACGGCUUUGUGAUUGUAAGAGAAGUGAGAU